This 8124-nucleotide long non-coding RNA is filed under the name Triticum aestivum (bread wheat). Its description in RNAcentral is "long non-coding RNA (TAES_LNC010853)". Lineage: Eukaryota; Viridiplantae; Streptophyta; Magnoliopsida; Poales; Poaceae. The record is from RNAcentral.
GAUUCCCCUGACGCCGCCGCCACCGCCACCGCCGUCGAUCAAUUAAUAGGUGUUGGGAGUCUGGGUACGAGCAUAUGCCAUGGUGACUUCCGUGCACCUCUGGUCUCUUACUAAUGUGUUACAAGAAUAAUCUUGCUGAUGUGAAAUAAGUUGUCAUGCUUCAAAGUCUUAAAAUGUAUUGUUCACUUCUCUAUAUCAAUUUGGACUUCUGAGGUAAACGGCGGAAAUAAAUCUUUUUUUUUUUGGUGUGUUGCGUGGAUAUGCACCAUAGCAUAAGGAACGGCUAGCUGCCGUGUACGAAAGCACUUUUGGCCAGCGAUGUCAAACAAAGUUCGACGCAAUUAUAUACUGUAUUGCACAACGAGAAUGGCGAUAGAGCGGACGAGCUCGCCCGCUCCCGCUAUGCGUGCCAAUGGGACAGUGACGCGUCUGUACGUGUAAUGAAUGCGACCGUAGGGAGUAGAACAGAUGCGCAACGCCCAGCAGUAGUAUACGGUGACGGAGCCGUCUGAUCUGACGCGCAUUGAUGGUACACCAGCCAUAUGUUCCGUUGGUGAAAACAAUGACACUGACCAAGAUAAAUAUUAGCCAUGUCUUCCUUGCUAAAUGCCUCAAUUGGAAUCCAUCGUUUGUAACUAGUAGAACUCAUCCGGAAAUAUGGCGGUGAUCACAAAAAUAAAGCAGCGGGGCUACAAAACAAAACAAAAAUUCCUUCAUGUGAGAUUACAUAAAAAAAACGCUGGAAAUUCAGAGUUCGACAUUCGAAAAAGUGGAAGAAUUCAGGGGGAAAAUUCCAUAAAAGAUACAAAAACAUUACAAAUAUAGUUCAUGAAAAAGGAAGAUAAAAGAAUCUGUGCACAUUUAUAUAUGUAACAACAAACAGAAAAAAAUCGACCGUUGCUAUUUUCAGCUUUGUGCGAGUGGUAUUUGACGGUAUUUACCCUUAACCAUAUCAGUGAGAGGUGGCGUGAACUGGAAGCUAAAAACAUUCUAGUUAGCUCAUCAAACAUGCAUGCCUGUAUGUCCCAGGGAAAAAAGUUUUUUGCUUUUGUUUGCAUAAAGCACCGGCGACUAAUAUAGUUGUGCUUAGUUCUUCAGACAUGCAUGUGUGCUUCUGAGAAAACAAAAUUCGGAGAAAAUCUUCAAAAUUUGAUCUCACCAGUCUACCCCCUUACUGCAAAAUUCAGAAAACUCAUUCUAGACGUUCCCCACCUCACCCCAACCACAGCACAAGAAACAACUUUGAUUCACGUGUGGCCAGACAUACAGAUUUUGUAGAAUCAACACCUUACAAGGAUCAAGGUUUUUGAUCUAUGUUCAGGAAAAAAACAACAGGUUUGGCGAACAGUAUUCAAAUCCAUUGGUCUUCAUACAUAAUAUACGUCCGGUCUAGCAAGUCAGUUAGAAGAUCUUUUUUUUGCGGGUGAAGUCGGUUAGAAGAUCCCCAUAAGCCCGGAUUGACAAUCAGAUUUUUGUAUGCCUAGCUAUAUUCAGAAGUUUCAGACAUAUCAGAGGUUUCAGACAUAUGUGACACAAUUGUUCAUGCAGAAUUUUCAGUCACACUAAAAUCAGUUGUGGUCAGUACAUAUUGGCAUGUUCAAGUUUAUUUGCUUCAGCUGUGGGAAAAGUUAAAGAGAAGUCACUUUCAAUCUUUACCUGCUGCAAACAGAUUGAUGCUAUGUGUUACAUCAUAUUAGAAACGCUCGCCGGUGUUCUGCCCGCGACGGGCUACAUAGGUGACUACGUUCCUUCCGCAAUCCGGACAAGCCACGAUUGGCAGGAUGACCGGAUCAACACCUUGGUUCGUGUUUGCCAUCAUAAGGGUUCCUAGCUUCGAUUUGGGGUUGAUUGAGAUGGAGUGUGCGCUUAGGGUUUCUUGGAUUUGGGGAUCGAUUGGAGAAGAUUGAGUCGCCGUGAGGGCGAUGGGCUGAGUUAAAUGGAGCUGGUAGGCCGACCCAGCCGUCUUCAAUCUACCGUCCAUUUGACGCGCACCAUAUAACGUUGUUUUCUUUCGUCCGCUAUACGCAUUAAAUGUAGCCACAUACAUGCCCUAGAAUGCGGCCUAUGUCUCGUAUCCCAAAACGAGCCGAUGCUUCAGGAUACCGUGACUAGGCGAGCUCGUCCACGCCUGUGGAUUUUCGAUUGCACAACUACUCGUAUAUAUGAUGCUCACUUAUCUCCAGUCUAUAUAGGACAAAUAUGGUAGCCGACAAAAAUGAGUUUCAUGAGCUUGCACAUGCGCCUCCAUGUGAGACGUGAAGGUGACUAAAAAAUGACAUUCACAUGUCAGUUGGCAAAAAAGGUAACACUGUAAUCUUCCAUCCUUAAGGGCAUUUUCAAUGGCAACUUGUAAAUUUUCUCCCGCAUUCGUCCGCUGACAGGGAUCAGUUUAUGGACAUGGAUGUGAAAGCCCAUCAUCCAACUGUAGCCUGUAUAUGUCCGUCAGCAAAUUCAAAUUUAAAUGUACUGAUCCACACAACAUGCCGGAUCACAUCCGCGCCGGAUCGCAACCCCGAUCACAACCAAAAAGAAGAAAAUAUGCUUAGUUUUUACAUGUUCUAAUCUAAAAUAACAUCAGUCCAGUGUCCAACAGUCCGUGCAUUUCUGCCCUGCCGGACCGGCAAUCCCAGCAAGCUGCUCCUCGAUUGAGGAGGUGUCGUCGCCGCCGUGUAGGCAGCCCCCGCGUCCGCGCCAGCCUCUGCCUUCGCCGCGUCCUCAUCUUUUGCCGUCGCCAACUCAUCUUUCUACCCCUCCAACAUCUGGUAGCGGACGGAUUGCAAGAUAAUUCUAGCGCCAGCAACCAAAGAGUCGAUAUUCAAGGUCAAUAUCUUGGCAUCGUCCGCAUUAGCGGCGAUCUUCACCCUCUUUCCAUGGAGCACGGCCUUCUUUUCCUUGAGCGCGGCCUUCUAUUCCUCGAGCACGACCUUCUUCUCCUCGAGUGCCCCCUUCCUCUCUUCGAUCAUGGUCCUGCUCUCUUCGAGCUUGAUCUUCUUCUCUGUCGCUUCUAUCAACUGUUUGAACCUAUUUGCUAGCUCCAUCUCCUACAGGUUCUCCGACGUUUUCAUGCUCCGCCUUUCUUUUAGGUAGGCCAGGGGCGGAGAGUGACGUUUCGUGUGUCUGAAGUCCCGCAAAGGCCCUCACAUUUUUCUUCGAAUUGCGGGAAAAAUCACGUCCGGACUGCUCCGCGGAUCGAUACAAGAUAGGUUGGUCCUGUUGGAUGGCUUUUACGGUGCGGAGAGCGCGAUGCAGACGGUUGCGGGAGGUUUGAGGGACGCGGGGAUGCCCUAAUUAAGAAUCCUCUUGGACAUAGGGUAGAGUUGAACUCGUGUUCAACUACUGCUAAGGUUGGUCAUAGUGGAGAGUAACUUAGACUAGUAACAUGCUUAUGUUACUAGUCUAUGUUAUAACCUUCAUAGUGGAGAGUAACAUAUAUGUGGUGUCAUGCAAGCCAUCACUUAUUAAGGUGUAGACUCAUUUUGUCUUGGGAUAUGUUAUGUUACAGUAACAUAUUAUGUUACUUCAAUCAUCUCUCUCCUCAUUAAAUACAUGUCAUGUAAGCAAAUUUUUCUUGGAUGUGUUAUGUUACUUGCUAAGUUACUCCCGCUAUGACCAGCCUAAAAAAUACCGCACUCGCGGGAUCGAGGAAAGGACAAACGGCCGUGCGGACCUCGAGGUCAACACACGGAAGAGAAGAGACAAAAUUCAGAGUCCCGGGUCGACAAUUUAAGAACGCCGCAAAUCCUACAGUGAACAGCUAGCUCACGUCUGCAGAGUCUCACUGUCUCAGUGGCUACUGACCGGAGCUGUACUGAUAUCAGAUCUACAGAGUACGGUGGUCUCGGAUCCACCUAUAGCUCGACCGAUGCGUCGCCGGACGGCCGUCCACGCGGUCCUCGUUGCCGCCGGCCUCCUGGUGCUGCUGGCCACGUACUCGCCGCCGCCGCUGCGUUCUCCUCCAGGUAUGCAUAAUGCAUAUAAUUUCCUCUGCGAGCUCCAAAUCCCAGCUUAUGUGACAGUGUGUGUGUGAAUGGAUUCGCAGUGCUGCUACUGGGUGGCGACGCCGACGCGGGUGCGCAGGGUAGCCGGUCGGCGCAGUCGACGCCACGUGAGAGGAGGAAGCUGGGUGUGGUAGCCGGCCGGCGCUUGGGCCAGAGAGUGCCCGUGAAGCCACCCUCGCCGGACCCCAACGGCUGGAAGACGAUGGUGAAGCCCGUGCCGCCGCCGCCGCCGCCGCCAUCAUCAAUUUACUAGGCGUACGAAAGCAGUAUGCCGAUCUGGUGCUCACUCGCCCAUGCUAUGCAACGUCGCGUACUUGCGCGUGGCCGACGGCUGCAAAAUCUUGUCUUAGGACUGUCUUUUCAUUUCCUGUGGUGCUUCUAAUGGCGCUUAUGGAUGACUGGAACGGUCUUUUGCUCCGUGCAAAAGCAUGAAACCUCCAGUUUCGCUAUUUGUAGCCACUCCCUAAUUUUGUUUCGUGGGACCAAAAUAAUGUUAAUACUCUACUCUUUCUUAUUAUUUUGAGCAAAGCUUAAUACUCUGCUGGUUAAGUACAAAUGUUCUGGCCUUUUGGCGGGCUAAAUUGUGUAUGGGUCCAGCCUAGUUGCAGGCUUGUGGCUCAACUUGAUACAUUUCGCUUCGUGAGAGAGGUGAAGACAGGGGAAAUUUUUCGGCAUUUCCUGUACGGCGCUUAAGGCGCCUGUUAUAGUAUAGCUUGCAAACGGGCGCACACCCCCCGUCUUGAACCCAUGACCUCCUCCUCAUGUGCUAAAUACGGUAGCAAUCCAGCAAACGCACCUGAAUGUGUUUGGUUGCUUCUUUUUACUCUUUUCUUCUUUCUUCUUUCUUCUUUCUUUUUUUCUUUUUGGUUCCUCUGUUUCUUCUUCUUUUUGAUAUGCGUGACCUUUCUUUAUCAAAAUCGAUGAACUUUUGAAACCAAUGAACUUUUUUUAAUUCAGUUUUUUUCACAAUUGAUGAACUUCAUAUAAAUUUGUAAACUAUUUUUGAAAAUCCAUGAACUUUUUCCAGUUUGAUGAUUUGUUAAAAAAAUAAUUGACUUUUUUUAAAUCGAUAAACUAUUCUUCAAAUUUUUUUUCAGUUUCUGUGAACUUUUUUUCAGAACGAUGAUUUUUUUUUCAAAUUGUUGAACUUUUUUCAAAAUAUUGAUGAACUUUUUUCAAAUUUUUGUGAACUUUUUUUCAAAAUCGACAAACUGUUUUCAAAAUCAAUGAAUUUUUUAAUAGGGCAACUUUUUUUUCCUGUUCGUGAACUUUUUUUGAAAUCUAUGAACUUUCAUUUAGAAAAAAAAAAGAAAAAUCACGCAUGAGCGGCUGUAACUGUUCUUAAAAUAUUAGCGCUGCUUCCAGUCACUUGUAACGAGGUGAUAUCUGGAAAAGCACUGGCCCAGCUGUGUUUCUGGUGUGUUCGGGUCGUGUAUGUGUCCUGUUACACUGUUUUUCUUCAAUGAAUAAUGACGUUUGAUUAUUUGCCGCUGGUUGAUGUGUCCAGUUACACAGUGCGUUUGCACGUGAGAGAUGCUGCAUGUUGUGUGGGUUUGGCUUAUUGCUCUUUUUUCCACAGUCAGAUUUAAAUGUUGUGUAUGUGCUCACGCAAACAAAAAAAAUGUGUUGUGUACGUGCGCGCGUGUGUAAUGGGCACUGCUAUGUUGCGAGUCAUCCCAAUUUUAUUUUUUUUGUGAAAUGAGUCACCCCAAACUAGGCACCAUGCACCAUCAUCUUGAGCAAAGUAAGGGCCUGUUCGGAUUCACUCCGCUCCACAACUCCGCUCCGGGAGCGGGCGGAGCAGCGCCGAACGCUCCAACUCCACGGAGUCAAAGGAGUGGAGCGGAGCCGAUCGCAGUUGAAUCUGGCGGAGUCGCUAAAGUCGGGCUCCCACGACUCCCUCGCCUCUCCCCCUCCCAACUUACCGCUUCAAUCAAUUUUUCUGCCUCUCGCUCCCAGGCUCGAUCCAAUCUGCCUGUUUGAUGUGUUGUGGGGAGCCAGCAACCUGGGUGUGGAGUGGAGUUAGUUGCCGAACAAGUUUUCUGCUCCUCAUUUGCCCUGGGGAGCCAGCAACCUUGGAGCUGGGAGUGGAGCUAAGGAUCUGACGGAGUGGAGCGGAUACGAACAGGCCCUAAGUGUGUCGCGUGUGUACAAUAUGGAGUUGAAUGUCCCUCGUCAAAAAAAAAGAUGGAGUUACCUGCUACUCCUUUACCACUAAAGUGAUCUAGACGCUCUUAUAUUUCUUUACGGAGGGAGUAGUUAACAGUGUAGCCGUCGACACGUCUACAGGGUCGGGCGGGGUUGGACAUGCAUUAUAUUUUUCAGUAUUAGCAUCUAUUAAAAUUUUGGCCACAUACUUUGUGAGGGGCAAAAGGUCUCUUCAGAUGUCAUUGAAAACCCUUAAGGCUUAAAAUGUACAAAAAUGAUAGAAAAGGCGUAAAAUUUAGAUUCGGCGUUAUAUAAGUAAGAAAAACAAUCGGGGUCAAAUAGAAAAACAAAAUUUAAGAAAAUAUUAAAUAAGGAAUUGUCUCAUUUCUUAAUCUCUCACUAGAUACUGACUCGGAAUGGCAGUACUUUCUCUGUUUUAUUUACUUUGCAUAUAAUUUUUUCCUUCUUGUAGUUUGGGCCGAAGUGUUUUUUUCUUCUGAUUUCUUCCGAUAUUGCCACGUCCACGCAACAAAUGCAUUAAGCACUCUGCAUGUUGCAUACACAAUUUCCAUGCUAGCGGCUGGCUGGGGAUUUUAGAGGGUCACAAUCCGACAACGAACAACUCACAUCACGCACAAAUCAAUCUCUUACUCAUUGUCUUGUAGGUACUGACUCGAGCCUCCGGUUUUUAUUUAGUUUGUGUGCAAGCUUUUUUUUUCGUUUUUAGUUUGCGUCAAAGCCUUUUUCCCGAUCUUUUUCGAUAUCGCCCCUUGAAUUUCAGCUUUGCACACCACCGAUGCAUUAAAUACCCCUUCCAUUGCGUACGCAACUUCCCCUCUCCUUCCUCCUCNNNNNNNNNNNNNNNNNNNNNNNNNNNNNNNNNNNNNNNNNNNNNNNNNNNNNNNNNNNNNNNNNNNNNNNNNNNNNNNNNNNNNNNNNNNNNNNNNNNNNNNNNNNNNNNNNNNNNNNNNNNNNNNNNNNNNNNNNNNNNNNNNNNNNNNNNNNNNNNNNNNNNNNNNNNNNNNNNNNNNNNNNNNNNNNNNNNNNNNNNNNNNNNNNNNNNNNNNNNNNNNNNNNNNNNNNNNNNNNNNNNNNNNNNNNNNNNNNNNNNNNNNNNNNNNNNNNNNNNNNNNNNNNNNNNNNNNNNNNNNNNNNNNNNNNNNNNNNNNNNNNNNNNNNNNNNNNNAGCCACCUGUUUUCUCGUCCUCGCCAUCGUCCUCCUUCUCCCGCUCCUGCUAGCUUCCUAUCCAUGUGUGGCCGCCGCACAUGGCCCACCGCAUCAUGCUCCAGGUACAUAUAGUUCCCUUUGGUUGUUUCCGAAUUUGUGCUUCGUUCUUUGUAUGUAUAGAUGGGCCCAUCGAUGUAAUUAUGGUGAUGAUGCUAGGUGGUGACGUUGGUGUGUGGGGUCAAACUGGCGGGCUGCAUCGUCAAGGAGGAAAGGUGUCAGGGAUGGGAGCCGCGAGGCGCUUGGGACAGAGGAUACCGCUAAAGGAUCCUCCCUCACCAAUCCCUAAUGAAAACUCGGGGGUGGUGAUUCCCCUGCUGCCGCUGCCGAUCAAUUAAUAAGUGUUGGGAGUCUGGGCACGAGCAUAUGCCAUGGUGACUUCCGUGCACCUCUAGUCUCUUACUAAUGUGUUAGAAGAAUAAUCUUGCUGUUGUGAAAUAAGUUGUCAUGCUUCAAAGUCUUAAAAUGUAUUGUUCACUUCUCUAUAUUCAAUUUGGACUUCUGAGGUAAAUGGCGGAAAAAAUAAAUUUAAUAUAGUCAGAGGCAAGUUGUCUCAUGCUAAGAUCCGGUUGACUAGAUAGUAAUAAGUUAAUUAUAGCAUACAUAUAUAAUUUUCCUGUGUGAAACAUUUUUUUUGAUAAUGAUGAACAUUAAACUAGCGGGUGUAAUCACUGCUGCCGUCGACUGACGAAAAGCGCCGGGGCUCCGCGCGGGCACGCGAUGAUACUUGCCAAUCUGUAAUCAUUCUCCAAG